AGGACGAACGCUGGCGGCGUGCUUAACACAUGCAAGUCAAGGGGGCUCAGCAAUGGGGCAACCGGCGAACGGGUGCGUAACACGUGAGCAAAGCUACCGAUUUGUGGGGGAUAGCCGGCCCAACGGCCGGGUAAUACCGCAUACGUUCACUGGACGGCAUCGUCUGGGUGAGGAAACCUCAGGGGCAAAUCGAGGCGCUCGCGGCCUAUCAGCUAGUUGGCGGGGUAACGGCCCACCAAGGCCUUUGACGGGUAGC
RNAcentral lists this ribosomal RNA (256 nucleotides) under uncultured soil bacterium. Its description in RNAcentral is "partial 16S ribosomal RNA". It matches the Rfam family "Bacterial small subunit ribosomal RNA", at positions 26 to 287 of the family's 1533-position model. The record is from RNAcentral.